Molecule: long non-coding RNA, 1758 nt
Filed under: Homo sapiens (human)
Lineage: Eukaryota; Metazoa; Chordata; Mammalia; Primates; Hominidae
Description: non-protein coding lnc-C16orf58-6:2
Source: RNAcentral
AUGAGCGAGAGCAGAGGAGGAGGAGGCAUGAGCGAGGCGGGCGAGGCCACCAUCAUCACCACCACCCUCCAGCAGGCUCCUGCGGUGGCGGCCGCCGCGGCUCCCCAGGACCCCGCGACCAAGAGCCGGGUGGGCAGCGGUGCACCCCAAGCCGCGGCCCCGGCGCCCGCCGCCCUCGUCGCAGGAAACCCGGGUGGGGACGGGGCCCCCGCAGCCACGGGCACCGCGGCCGCCGCCUCUUUAGCCACCGCCGCCGACAGCGAAGACGCGGAGAAAAAAGUUCUCGCCACCAAAGUCCUUGGCACUGUCAAAUGGUUCAACGUCAGAAAUGGAUAUGGAUUUAUAAAUCGAAAUGACACCAAAGAAGAUCUAUUUAUACAUCAGACUGCCAUCAAGAAGAAUAACCCACAGAAAUAUCUGCGCAGUGUAGGAGAUGGAGAAACUGUAGAGUUUGAUGUGGUUUAAGGAGAGAAGGGUGCAGAAGCAGCCAGUGUGACUGGCCGGGGUGGAGUUCCUGUGGAGGGCAGUCGUUACGCGCUGAUUGGCGCCGUUACAGACGUGGCUACUAUGGAAGGCGCCAUGGCCCUCCCCGGGAUUACGCUGGGAGGAGGAGGAAGAAGGGAGCGGCAGCAGUGAAGGAUUUGACCCCCCUACCACUGAUAGGCAGUUCUCUGGGGCCCGGAAUCGGCUGCGCCGCCCCCAGUAUCGCCCCCAGUACAGGCAGCAGCGGUUCCCGCCUUACCACGUGGGACAGACGUUUGACCGUCGCUCACCGGUCUUACCCCAUCCCAACAGAAUACAGGCUGUUGAGAUUGGAGAGCUGAAGGAUGGAGUCCCAGAAGGAGCACAACUUCAGGGACCAUUUCAUCGAAAUCCAACUUACCGCCCAAGGUACCAUAGCAGGGGACCUCCUCGCCCACGACCUGCCCCAGCAGUUGGAGAGGCUGAAGAUAAAGAAAAUCAGCAAGCCUCCAGUGGUCCAAACCAGCCGCCUGUUCGCCGUGGAUACCGGCGUCCCUACAAUUACCGGCGUCGCCCACGUUCUCCUAACGCUCCUUCACAAGAUGGCAAAGAGGCCACGGCAGGUGAAGCACCAACUGAGAACCCUGCUCCAUCCACCGAGCAGAGCAGUGCUGAGUAACACCAGGCUCCCCAGGCACCUUCACCAUCGGCAGGGUGACCUAAAGAAUUAAUGACCGUUCAGAAACAAAGCAAAAAGCAGGCCACAGCCUUACCAACACCAAAGAAACAUCCAAGCAAUAAAGUGGAAGACGAACCAAGAUUUGGACAUUGGAAUGUUUGCUGUUAUUCUUUAAGAAACAACUACAAAAAGAAAAUGUCAACAAAUUUUUCCAGCAAACUGAGAACCUGGGAAUUCCUGCACAGAAGACAAGAGAGCAGCCUCCCCAGUUUCAGCAAGCGCUAGGUUUAUAUUUUUUUCCUGGUUUUUACUGUUUGGGUAAUAGAUAUUGAAACAAGUAAUAUUAAUACCGCAUGGGGAGAACCCCAACCAAAGAAAUCUGAAAUAUAAAAUAAAUGCUUUUUUUUCCGUUUUUGUUCAUUUUGGAUGCUGGCGCUAAGCCUCCAAGUGUCAUGAUUAAAAAAAAAAUUAUGUCCUUAUUUAUUUCUAGGAUGAGGGGAGGAUAACAUUUUUGCUUUCUUAUGUGACUCUCUUGGAAAAUGUGCAGUAAGAAGUUCCUCAAAAAUAAAAUUUUUACCCUUCAAAGGAAAAAAAAGAAUAAAAUUCCCCAACUUAAC